Molecule: long non-coding RNA, 445 nt
Organism: Perognathus longimembris pacificus (Pacific pocket mouse)
Lineage: Eukaryota; Metazoa; Chordata; Mammalia; Rodentia; Heteromyidae
Exons: 3
Source: RefSeq, a predicted model, not a curated record
AGACGGGCCGACGGGGAACGCGGACGGCGAGGCGGCGGCCACGGCGGCCACGGCGGCCGGGGACGCCUCGCGGGCCCGGCGCGGGGCGUGAUAGCGGGAGCGGGGCGGGGAAGCGGGUGAUCUGGCCCAGGACGUCCGCGGAGGCGGGGCGGACACCGCAGGGUCAGGGUCCAGGAGGCGGGAGGGAGGGACGGAGGGCGCACGCGCCCUUCCGGCUCCCGGCCCGUUCCCCGGUCCCAUCCCACCGCGGGCCCCCCAGCCCGCGGGCGACACGACCCACCCGCAACACACCUCUCCCGGCUCCGCGUGACCGCCCGCGCCGGAGCACCGCGGGAACGCCCCCGCAGGCGUCACCCGGUGGGUCGCCGCCCGGCAAGGCCGCGCACCUCGGGCCGGCAGAACCCUCUCUCCUCUCCACCUUCCGGCUCGCCCACGCAACCCGUCC